GUGUUUGCUUUGGCAGCACAUGUCCAAAAAUUUGAAACGAUAAAGAGAAGAUUGGCAUAGCCCUCUACAAGGGUGGUGUGCAAAUUCCUGAAGCAUUCCAUAUUUUA
Gracilinanus agilis (Agile Gracile Mouse Opossum) is the source of this 107-nucleotide small nuclear RNA. The record is from RefSeq and is a predicted model, not a curated record. NCBI's taxonomy places the organism in Eukaryota, Metazoa, Chordata, Mammalia, Didelphimorphia, Didelphidae.